RNAcentral lists this ribosomal RNA (1516 nucleotides) under metagenome. RNAcentral's name for it is "bacterial SSU rRNA". It matches the Rfam family "Bacterial small subunit ribosomal RNA". The record is from RNAcentral.
AGAGUUUGAUCCUGGCUCAGGACGAACGCUGGCGGCGUGCUUAACACAUGCAAGUCGAACGAGACGAUUGAAAGCUUGCUUUUGAAAGUCGAGUGGCAAACGGGUGAGUAACGCGUAGACAACCUGCCGUAAAGAUGGGGACAACAGUCCGAAAGGACUGCUAAUACCGAAUGUUGUAAGUCUUCCGCAUGGAAGGCUUACUAAAGGUGGCCUCUACUUGUAAGCUAUCGCUUUACGAUGGGUCUGCGUCUGAUUAGCUGGUUGGUGGGGUAACGGCCUACCAAGGCGACGAUCAGUAGCCGGUCUGAGAGGAUGAACGGCCACAUUGGAACUGAGACACGGUCCAGACUCCUACGGGAGGCAGCAGUGGGGAAUCUUCCGCAAUGGGCGCAAGCCUGACGGAGCAACGCCGCGUGAGUGAAGAAGGGUUUCGACUCGUAAAGCUCUGUUGUCGGGGACGAACGUGGAGACGGCGAAUAGCCGUUUCCAAUGACGGUACCUGACGAGGAAGCCACGGCUAACUACGUGCCAGCAGCCGCGGUAAUACGUAGGUGGCGAGCGUUGUCCGGAAUUAUUGGGCGUAAAGGGAGCGCAGGCGGGAAGGUAAGUCUGAAGUGAAAGCCCGGGGCUCAACCCCGGGACUGCUUUGGAAACUAUGCAGCUAGAGUGUCGGAGAGGUAAGUGGAAUUCCCAGUGUAGCGGUGAAAUGCGUAGAUAUUGGGAGGAACACCAGUGGCGAAGGCGGCUUACUGGACGAUGACUGACGUUGAGGCUCGAAAGCGUGGGGAGCAAACAGGAUUAGAUACCCUGGUAGUCCACGCCGUAAACGAUGACUACUAGGUGUCGGGGAGCAAAGCUCUUCGGUGCCGCAGCAAACGCAAUAAGUAGUCCACCUGGGGAGUACGCUCGCAAGAAUGAAACUCAAAGGAAUUGACGGGGACCCGCACAAGCGGUGGAGCAUGUGGUUUAAUUCGAAGCAACGCGAAGAACCUUACCUGCUCUUGACAUCCCGGUGACCGGCAUGUAAUGAUGCCUUUUCUUCGGAACACCGGUGACAGGUGGUGCAUGGUUGUCGUCAGCUCGUGUCGUGAGAUGUUGGGUUAAGUCCAGCAACGAGCGCAACCCUUAUCUUCAGUAGCCAGCAUUUUGGAUGGGCACUCUGGAGAGACUGCCAGGGAUAACCUGGAGGAAGGUGGGGAUGACGUCAAAUCGUCAUGCCCCUUAUGACUUGGGCUACACACGUGCUACAAUGGCGUAAACAAAGUGAAGCGAGAGUGUGAGCUUAAGCAAAUCACAAAAAUAACGUCUCAGUUCGGAUUGUAGUCUGCAACUCGACUACAUGAAGCUGGAAUCGCUAGUAAUCGCAGAUCAGAAUGCUGCGGUGAAUACGUUCCCGGGUCUUGUACACACCGCCCGUCACACCAUGGGAGUCGGAAAUGCCCGAAGUCGGUGACCUAACGUAAGAAGGAGCCGCCGAAGGCAGGUCUGAUAACUGGGGUGAAGUCGUAACAAGGUA